UGCUAUUUAUUCAAAUAAAUGCAUGCAUUCUUUAUGAUUUAGAAUUCAUCUGAAGGUCAAUUUGAAGUACAGUACAAUAUUUCUAUAUCGUUUAAGAGAAAAAUCAUCAUUUUACAGUGCUUUGUUGACAAGCCCAGCAUUUUUUUUUCGAGCAGCUGACACACACUUCAUUGGUUGUCGUGCCCUCAUCCAGUUUCGUUUGUAUUUUAAUUCACAUUUGAGUGCGUAGCCCGUGUGAGGGAGAAACACGAUAACUUCUUCUCAUGUUUCGCAAAAGGAGGAUGAGACUGGUAAAAAUGAUCGAUUUGAGGAAAGGAGCGAGCCCCUCAGCAAUGACUCGUUGCAAGUCAACAAUCGGCUUUGUGUUUGCCCGCAGGCGUCUGCGGAGGGACCUCUGGAUGCUGAUGAUGAGCAACUCGGCGGUGAAGAGAAAGAAUCUGCCUCGCUGGAGGGAAGAGCUCGUAGCACUGACCCUUGGAUUAUCGGGAAAUGGAAAUCGGGAAGCGGCACGCAAGAUGGCGCUGUAAAGCGGGAAUGUGACGUCGGUGAGGGGGCCGUUCCGGCUGCGGAGGUCUCUUCUUCCUCUGACGCACGCUCAUCAUUCGCGCAGGUCCACUUGAAUGUCCUUUGCUUGGUUUGCAUGUUGAAGUAGACGUGAGGAACUUGGCGGUUUGGUCUGUGGGCGCAGGGGGCUGCGUGCAGAGAGACGGACAGUGGAUUCGGGAGCUGCGACUUGAA
Molecule: long non-coding RNA, 738 nt
Organism: Hippocampus zosterae (dwarf seahorse)
Lineage: Eukaryota; Metazoa; Chordata; Actinopteri; Syngnathiformes; Syngnathidae
Exons: 3
Source: RefSeq, a predicted model, not a curated record